AUCAUUUUCCUUGGAAGCCAUUAUGCCAUUUUGCCUAGGGAAGCAGGGAGGGUAGAUACUUCUAAGGGAAAGAGAUGCCAAAACAAUGAUCAGUGACCAAGUAGAACGGUGCCACCAUCACCUCAGAGUUUCUUUAAGCAGCACAGAUCCACAAAGACCCUUCAGUUCCUCUCCACCCCAUGAGGCUCCAAGGGGCUUAUGAGGGGUCAAUCUGUGAAGUAGAUGAAAAUGAUAAUACAUGAAGCCUUUACUGAUUUUAUGAGACAUUAAUCCAUGUUUAAAAGGAUGUCAAAACACUUCUACUUCCAGGAAGAUGUAGUAAAUACAUUUUUCUUCUUCAUUCCCCGGUUAAGAAUCCGCCUGUCAAGGCAGGGGACACGGGUUCGAGCCUUGGUCCGGGAAGAUCCCACAUGCCGCAGAGCAACUAAGCCCAUGCGCCACAGCUACUGAGCCUGUGCUCUAGAGCCCAUGAACCACAACUACUGAGCCCGCGUGCCACAACUACUGAAGCCCGCAUGCCUACAGCCCAUGCUCCACAACAAGAGAAGCCACCGCAAUGAGAAGCCUGCACACCGCAAGGAAGAGUAGCCCCUGCUCACCAAAACUAGAGAAAGCCCGCAAUCAACAAUGAAGACCCAACGCAGCCAAAUUAAAAAAUAAAUUAAUUAAUUAAUUUAAAAAAUAUGUGCAAUUAAUUAUGGAAGAAGUCCAGCAUCAUGGACACCAUUA
Eubalaena glacialis (North Atlantic right whale) is the source of this 729-nucleotide long non-coding RNA. RefSeq lists it as uncharacterized. The record is from RefSeq and is a predicted model, not a curated record. Lineage: Eukaryota; Metazoa; Chordata; Mammalia; Artiodactyla; Balaenidae. The transcript is spliced from 3 exons.